RNAcentral lists this ribosomal RNA (419 nucleotides) under uncultured ammonia-oxidizing beta proteobacterium. RNAcentral describes it as "bacterial SSU rRNA". It matches the Rfam family "Bacterial small subunit ribosomal RNA", at positions 197 to 597 of the family's 1533-position model. The record is from RNAcentral. Lineage: Bacteria; Pseudomonadati; Pseudomonadota; Betaproteobacteria.
UGGAGGAAAGCAGGGGAUCGUAAGACCUUGCGCUUUUGGAGCGGCCGAUGUCUGAUUAGGUAGUUGGUGGGGUAAUGGCCUACCAAAGGUUCGAUCAGUAGCUGGUCUGAGAGGACGACCAGCCACACUGGGACUGAGACACGGCCCAGACUCCUACGGGAGGCAGCAGUGGGGAAUUUUGGACAAUGGGCGCAAGCCUGAUCCAGCCAUGCCGCGUGAGUGAAGAAGGCCUUCGGGUUGUAAAGCUCUUUCAGCCGGGAAGAAAAGGUCGCGACUAAUAAUCGCGGUUCAUGACGGUGCCGGAAGAAGAAGCACCGGCUAACUACGUGCCAGCAGCCGCGGUAAUACGUAGGGUGCGAGCGUUAAUCGGAAUUACUGGGCGUAAAGGGUGCGCAGGCGGUCUUGUAAGUCAGAUGUGA